GACGGAGGAUGCAAGCGUUAUCCGGAAUGAUUGGGCGUAAAGCGUCCGCAGGUGGCAGUUCAAGUCUGCUGUCAAAGACCGGGGCUUAACUUCGGAAAGGCAGUGGAAACUGAACAGCUAGAGUAUGGUAGGGGCAGAGGGAAUUCCUGGUGUAGCGGUGAAAUGCGUAGAGAUCAGGAAGAACACCGAUGGCGAAGGCAGGUCUCUGGGCCACUACUGACGCUGAGAAGCGAAAGCAUGGGGAGCGAACAGG
RNAcentral lists this ribosomal RNA (253 nucleotides) under uncultured bacterium. RNAcentral's name for it is "partial 16S ribosomal RNA". It matches the Rfam family "Bacterial small subunit ribosomal RNA", at positions 524 to 776 of the family's 1533-position model. The record is from RNAcentral.